AGAAUAUGAAAUCAUAGAGCCAUAGUACUCAAGGAAUAGCAAGCAUGUGAAGAAUAAAGUGCGGAAAAGUGAGACGUGACAAGGGUCAUUUAAGUAAGCAGAAAUCUUCUCGUAUCUCAACUUUUACCUUCUACCAGAGGAGUCGAACUUAGGCAUCUGAGCGAUACGAGUCAUCCGAGUCUCUGAUAUGUCAGAAAGUAAAGGCAAAGGUCAUUUGCCAUUUACUGUCCGAACCGGCAAAAGUAAAGUUACGAGAAGUUGUCUGCUCACGACGGUUUCUCACACAAUGUGUUUCAUUGUGUUGAUAUUUUCUCAUACAGUUAGUUGUAACACCGGAAUGGAAGAUUUGUCCGAAACUAUUGCUUGAAUGCCUGGAGUGCCUUUCCUUGCUCUUCCUUGAGUACUAUGGCUCUAUGAUUCCAUAUUCUUUCUCCUCUUAUAAUCUCUAGUUAGUUUGAUAUCGUUAUAAAACCGAAAAAAUAAUUUCUAAAGUUGCCUCAAAACUAUUCCAAUAAUUCCUUGUUCUUGGGUUUUUGAUGAACGACUGAAGAUUGUAGCCAUGGACUCAAAAUGGAUCCCAGUCACUUUUCCCGAACCAAUUUUGAUUAUACCGGUUCCCAGAUUCCGGUUUCGGAAGUACCUCUUUUCGUUUCCUCAGAGAUGGCCUAACCGACCUGAGUACUUUUUCACUCUAUAGUUUAUACUAGUUUAUGGACAAACCUUUCUGUUUGUCAAGAGAGUUAAAUAAAAUUAUUCUACACUGAGAAAAAAGUUAUAGUAAUCGUAACCUGUUUUUCAUGGUCAAUUCAACUAUACGCUUAAAUAGUAGCAACGACCAUGAUAUUAGAAUAUUCACCAUCUAUAUUGUAUAAAGUAAUAGAUAACAAAGUCAACAACUUGACUAGACAAUUUGUAUUUAUGACUUUUAUGGCGUGGUCAAUAUGACAAUGGUUGUCAUCUUUAAAAAAUGAACAAAUAGUUAAAAUGACAAUCAGAAGCGAGGCUAAAUUGUUCUUGGACACAAUAAUUUCGAGAAGCAAAAUAGUGAUUGCUACCAUAUAAGUAUGUUCUUUGGAACAAUAUAGGAAUGUUAAUGAGAUUUAAUAUAAAGUUGGCUAGACGAGUGUGAAGUAUGAAAGCACUUUUCAUGUUGUUUGCAUCAACAGAAUAUAUGUAGGAAACUCAUUAUCGUAUAGUUUUUUUUUUUUCAAUCGACUAUGUAUUCCAUUUUUGUUGACAACAGUAAUAAGCGCAUUUACUUCAUAAUCGGUAUAUGAAGAUUCAUUGUAGCGUUGACGUUGACAACAAAAUAGUGAUAGUGCUUUAUUAACAUUGGCUUUGGUAUUGUAGGGAAGUCGCAUAAUUAUGCAAAUGCGCGUCUCGUAAUCAAAUCAUUAGUAUAUUUCGGUCGUAGACAAACGGAAUCAAGCGCAUCAUAAAUGAAAUAGCAAAUCAGGUUGCCUUCCUGUAUCCUAAUGGCUCGAGGCCGACGUAAAUGAUAGCAAAAUAACGAUGGCGGGUGCUGAAAGGGCUGUAUGCUGGUUUGCAUGUAGACUCGGCUGUUGAUUAUGUUCGAGCUGCUCCAGGGAAAACCCUACCGGAAAAUCAUCUAGCUCCCUGGAUCAGCUGCUAGUAAAUGAUGCUUCUCCGCUUCAAUGUUGCUUAUGAAAAUUUCACGAGAGAACGCUGUAAUGAGUGGAACAGUUUUGAUCCGAUGUCACCACUUGAGUUUCCCAGAAGGAUUAUGUCGAUCUGCGGACGUGAAACUCCUAUCAAAUGAAUUUGACAUUUCUCCCACCUACUUGUAUGUACAAGAUUCGAUGUGGACUCGCUUGAGGGUACCAUGCUUGCAAAAAAGGCGAUCUGAAUUGAGCAAACAUCAGCAGUGGAAACAACAGCGGUGCGGUGGCAGUACUACGGAUGGUAGCGAUUUACACCUCAACAUGACUCCACGAUGAUUUAUGUUACUCCGAGGUGUCAAUGUAAGCAGCGACGUUAUAUCAAUACUAUUGUAAAAAAC
Long non-coding RNA from Malaya genurostris, 2020 nucleotides. RefSeq lists it as uncharacterized. The record is from RefSeq and is a predicted model, not a curated record. NCBI's taxonomy places the organism in Eukaryota, Metazoa, Arthropoda, Insecta, Diptera, Culicidae. The transcript is spliced from 3 exons.